Molecule: ribosomal RNA, 2888 nt
Filed under: Klebsiella michiganensis
Lineage: Bacteria; Pseudomonadati; Pseudomonadota; Gammaproteobacteria; Enterobacterales; Enterobacteriaceae
Description: 23S ribosomal RNA
Rfam family: Bacterial large subunit ribosomal RNA
Source: RNAcentral
GGUUAAGCGACUAAGCGUACACGGUGGAUGCCCUGGCAGUCAGAGGCGAUGAAGGACGUGCUAAUCUGCGAAAAGCGUCGGUAAGGUGAUAUGAACCGUUACAGCCGGCGAUGUCCGAAUGGGGAAACCAGUGCAAUUCGUUGCACUAUCGUUAACUGAAUACAUAGGUUAACGAGGCGAACCGGGGGAACUGAAACAUCUAAGUACCCCGAGGAAAAGAAAUCAACCGAGAUUCCCCAGUAGCGGCGAGCGAACGGGGAGCAGCCCGGAGUCUGAAUCAGCUUGUGUGUUAGUGGAAGCGUCUGGAAAGUCGCAGGGUACAGGGUGAUACUCCCGUACACUAAAACACACAGGUUGUGAACUCGAAGAGUAGGGCGGGACACGUGGUAUCCUGUCUGAAUAUGGGGGGACCAUCCUCCAAGGCUAAAUACUCCUGACUGACCGAUAGUGAACCAGUACCGUGAGGGAAAGGCGAAAAGAACCCCGGCGAGGGGAGUGAAAAAGAACCUGAAACCGUGUACGUACAAGCAGUAGGAGCCCACUAGUUGGGUGACUGCGUACCUUUUGUAUAAUGGGUCAGCGACUUAUAUUCUGUAGCAAGGUUAACCGUAUAGGGGAGCCGCAGGGAACCGAGUCUUAACUGGGCGUUAAGUUGCAGGGUAUAGACCGAAACCCGGUGAUCUAGCCAUGGGCAGGUUGAAGGUUGGGUAACACUAACUGGAGGACCGAACCGACUAAUGUUGAAAAAUUAGCGGAUGACUUGUGGCUGGGGUGAAAGGCCAAUCAAACGGGAGAUAGCUGGUUCUCCCGAAAGCUAUUUAGGUAGCGCCUCGUGAAUUCAUCUUCGGGGGUAGAGCACUGUUUCGGCUAGGGGGUCAUCCCGACUUACCAACCCGAUGCAAACUACGAAUACCGAAGAAUGUUAUCACGGGAGACACACGGCGGGUGCUAACGUCCGUCGUGAAGAGGGAAACAACCCAGACCGCCAGCUAAGGUCCCAAAGUCAUGGUUAAGUGGGAAACGAUGUGGGAAGCCCAGACAGCCAGGAUGUUGGCUUAGAAGCAGCCAUCAUUAAAGAAAGCGUAAUAGCUCACUGGUCGAGUCGGCCUGCGCGGAAGAUGUAACGGGCUAAACCAUGCACCGAAGCUGCGGCAGCGACACUAUGUUGUUGGGUAGGGGAGCGUUCUGUAAGCCGUUGAAGGUGGCCUGUGAGGGUUGCUGGAGGUAUCAGAAGUGCGAAUGCUGACAUAAGUAACGAUAAUGCGGGUGAAAAACCCGCACGCCGGAAGACCAAGGGUUCCUGUCCAACGUUAAUCGGGCAGGGUGAGUCGACCCUAAGGCGAGCCGAAGGCGUAGUCGAUGGGAAACAGGUUAAUAUUCCUGUACUCGGUGUUACUGCGAAGGGGGGACGGAGAAGGCUAUGUUGGCCGGGCGACGGUUGUCCCGGUUUAAGCAUGUAGGCGGAUGUUCCAGGUAAAUCCGGAACGUCACUAACGCUGAGGUGUGAUGACGAGGCACUACGGUGCUGAAGUGACAAAUGCCCUGCUUCCAGGAAAAGCCUCUAAGCAUCAGGUAACAUCAAAUCGUACCCCAAACCGACACAGGUGGUCAGGUAGAGAAUACCAAGGCGCUUGAGAGAACUCGGGUGAAGGAACUAGGCAAAAUGGUGCCGUAACUUCGGGAGAAGGCACGCUGAUGGUAGGUGAAGUGACUUGCUCAUGGAGCUGAAAUCAGUCGAAGAUACCAGCUGGCUGCAACUGUUUAUUAAAAACACAGCACUGUGCAAACACGAAAGUGGACGUAUACGGUGUGACGCCUGCCCGGUGCCGGAAGGUUAAUUGAUGGGUUAUCCUCGCGGAGAAGCUCUUGAUCGAAGCCCCGGUAAACGGCGGCCGUAACUAUAACGGUCCUAAGGUAGCGAAAUUCCUUGUCGGGUAAGUUCCGACCUGCACGAAUGGCGUAAUGAUGGCCAGGCUGUCUCCACCCGAGACUCAGUGAAAUUGAACUCGCUGUGAAGAUGCAGUGUACCCGCGGCAAGACGGAAAGACCCGUGAACCUUUACUAUAGCUUGACACUGAACACUGGUCCUUGAUGUGUAGGAUAGGUGGGAGGCUUUGAAGUGUGGACGCCAGUCUGCAUGGAGCCAUCCUUGAAAUACCACCCUUUAAUGGCUGGUGUUCUAACGUGGGCCCGUGAUCCGGGUUGCGGACAGUGUCUGGUGGGUAGUUUGACUGGGGCGGUCUCCUCCUAAAGAGUAACGGAGGAGCACGAAGGUCAGCUAAUCCUGGUCGGACAUCAGGAGGUUAGUGCAAUGGCAUAAGCUGGCUUGACUGCGAGCGUGACGGCGCGAGCAGGUGCGAAAGCAGGUCAUAGUGAUCCGGUGGUUCUGAAUGGAAGGGCCAUCGCUCAACGGAUAAAAGGUACUCCGGGGAUAACAGGCUGAUACCGCCCAAGAGUUCAUAUCGACGGCGGUGUUUGGCACCUCGAUGUCGGCUCAUCACAUCCUGGGGCUGAAGUAGGUCCCAAGGGUAUGGCUGUUCGCCAUUUAAAGUGGUACGCGAGCUGGGUUUAGAACGUCGUGAGACAGUUCGGUCCCUAUCUGCCGUGGGCGCUGGAGAAUUGAGGGGGGCUGCUCCUAGUACGAGAGGACCGGAGUGGACGCAUCACUGGUGUUCGGGUUGUCAUGCCAAUGGCAUUGCCCGGUAGCUAAAUGCGGAAGAGAUAAGUGCUGAAAGCAUCUAAGCACGAAACUUGCCCCGAGAUGAGUUCUCCCUGACUCCUUGAGAGUCCUGAAGGAACGUUGAAGACGACGACGUUGAUAGGCCGGGUGUGUAAGCGCAGCGAUGCGUUGAGCUAACCGGUACUAAUGAACCGUGAGGCUUAACCUU